RNAcentral lists this ribosomal RNA (2542 nucleotides) under human gut metagenome. RNAcentral describes it as "bacterial LSU rRNA". It matches the Rfam family "Bacterial large subunit ribosomal RNA", at positions 1 to 2570 of the family's 2925-position model. The record is from RNAcentral.
UUAAGCGACUAAGCGUACACGGUGGAUGCCCUGGCAGUCAGAGGCGAUGAAGGACGUGCUAAUCUGCGAUAAGCGUCGGUAAGGUGAUAUGAACCGUUAUAACCGGCGAUUUCCGAAUGGGGAAACCCAGUGUGAUUCGUCACACUAUCAUUAACUGAAUCCAUAGGUUAAUGAGGCGAACCGGGGGAACUGAAACAUCUAAGUACCCCGAGGAAAAGAAAUCAACCGAGAUUCCCCCAGUAGCGGCGAGCGAACGGGGAGCAGCCCAGAGCCUGAAUCAGUGUGUGUGUUAGUGGAAGCGUCUGGAAAGGCGCGCGAUACAGGGUGACAGCCCCGUACACAAAAAUGCACAUGCUGUGAGCUCGAUGAGUAGGGCGGGACACGUGGUAUCCUGUCUGAAUAUGGGGGGACCAUCCUCCAAGGCUAAAUACUCCUGACUGACCGAUAGUGAACCAGUACCGUGAGGGAAAGGCGAAAAGAACCCCGGCGAGGGGAGUGAAAAAGAACCUGAAACCGUGUACGUACAAGCAGUGGGAGCCUCUUUAUGGGGUGACUGCGUACCUUUUGUAUAAUGGGUCAGCGACUUAUAUUCUGUAGCAAGGUUAACCGAAUAGGGGAGCCGAAGGGAAACCGAGUCUUAACUGGGCGUUAAGUUGCAGGGUAUAGACCCGAAACCCGGUGAUCUAGCCAUGGGCAGGUUGAAGGUUGGGUAACACUAACUGGAGGACCGAACCGACUAAUGUUGAAAAAUUAGCGGAUGACUUGUGGCUGGGGGUGAAAGGCCAAUCAAACCGGGAGAUAGCUGGUUCUCCCCGAAAGCUAUUUAGGUAGCGCCUCGUGAAUUCAUCUCCGGGGGUAGAGCACUGUUUCGGCAAGGGGGUCAUCCCGACUUACCAACCCGAUGCAAACUGCGAAUACCGGAGAAUGUUAUCACGGGAGACACACGGCGGGUGCUAACGUCCGUCGUGAAGAGGGAAACAACCCAGACCGCCAGCUAAGGUCCCAAAGUCAUGGUUAAGUGGGAAACGAUGUGGGAAGGCCCAGACAGCCAGGAUGUUGGCUUAGAAGCAGCCAUCAUUUAAAGAAAGCGUAAUAGCUCACUGGUCGAGUCGGCCUGCGCGGAAGAUGUAACGGGGCUAAACCAUGCACCGAAGCUGCGGCAGCGACACUAUGUGUUGUUGGGUAGGGGAGCGUUCUGUAAGCCUGCGAAGGUGUACUGUGAGGUAUGCUGGAGGUAUCAGAAGUGCGAAUGCUGACAUAAGUAACGAUAAAGCGGGUGAAAAGCCCGCUCGCCGGAAGACCAAGGGUUCCUGUCCAACGUUAAUCGGGGCAGGGUGAGUCGACCCCUAAGGCGAGGCCGAAAGGCGUAGUCGAUGGGAAACAGGUUAAUAUUCCUGUACUUGGUGUUACUGCGAAGGGGGGACGGAGAAGGCUAUGUUGGCCGGGCGACGGUUGUCCCGGUUUAAGCGUGUAGGCUGGUUUUCCAGGCAAAUCCGGAAAAUCAAGGCUGAGGCGUGAUGACGAGGCACUACGGUGCUGAAGCAACAAAUGCCCUGCUUCCAGGAAAAGCCUCUAAGCAUCAGGUAACAUCAAAUCGUACCCCAAACCGACACAGGUGGUCAGGUAGAGAAUACCAAGGCGCUUGAGAGAACUCGGGUGAAGGAACUAGGCAAAAUGGUGCCGUAACUUCGGGAGAAGGCACGCUGAUAUGUAGGUGAAGUCCCUUGCGGAUGGAGCUGAAAUCAGUCGAAGAUACCAGCUGGCUGCAACUGUUUAUUAAAAACACAGCACUGUGCAAACACGAAAGUGGACGUAUACGGUGUGACGCCUGCCCGGUGCCGGAAGGUUAAUUGAUGGGGUUAGCGGUAACGCGAAGCUCUUGAUCGAAGCCCCGGUAAACGGCGGCCGUAACUAUAACGGUCCUAAGGUAGCGAAAUUCCUUGUCGGGUAAGUUCCGACCUGCACGAAUGGCGUAAUGAUGGCCAGGCUGUCUCCACCCGAGACUCAGUGAAAUUGAACUCGCUGUGAAGAUGCAGUGUACCCGCGGCAAGACGGAAAGACCCCGUGAACCUUUACUAUAGCUUGACACUGAACAUUGAGCCUUGAUGUGUAGGAUAGGUGGGAGGCUUUGAAGUGUGGACGCCAGUCUGCAUGGAGCCGACCUUGAAAUACCACCCUUUAAUGUUUGAUGUUCUAACGUUGGCCCCUAAUCGGGGUUGCGGACAGUGUCUGGUGGGUAGUUUGACUGGGGCGGUCUCCUCCUAAAGAGUAACGGAGGAGCACGAAGGUUGGCUAAUCCUGGUCGGACAUCAGGAGGUUAGUGCAAUGGCAUAAGCCAGCUUGACUGCGAGCGUGACGGCGCGAGCAGGUGCGAAAGCAGGUCAUAGUGAUCCGGUGGUUCUGAAUGGAAGGGCCAUCGCUCAACGGAUAAAAGGUACUCCGGGGAUAACAGGCUGAUACCGCCCAAGAGUUCAUAUCGACGGCGGUGUUUGGCACCUCGAUGUCGGCUCAUCACAUCCUGGGGCUGAAGUAGGUCCCAAGG